Frankliniella occidentalis (western flower thrips) is the source of this 4354-nucleotide long non-coding RNA. RefSeq lists it as uncharacterized. NCBI's taxonomy places the organism in Eukaryota, Metazoa, Arthropoda, Insecta, Thysanoptera, Thripidae. The transcript has 2 exons. The record is from RefSeq and is a predicted model, not a curated record.
CGUAACACUUGCCUGCCGGCUGGCACAGUCCAAGCCUAGUUGUGCAAUAUGCAUGGUCUGAUAGGCAAUUGGCAAGGCUGUCGGUCGAGCCCCUCUCUCUAUCUCUGUCUCUCUUGUUUAGCCACCCUAGUCUUUGUAUCGAGUCAUUUUGUCAAAAAUUUGUUUUCCUUAGUCUUUGUAGAACACUGAUUUGGUUCGUGUAGUUUGAGGAGAUAAAUGCUAGUUUUCGACUGAGCAUGUUGACCUCGGAAGCAUGUGGAUUCAUCCCAUUGAUUCUUACAUUUUCUAAGCCUGCAAACCAGGUGUCUUCUUGUACUGUACUCUCAACACGUUUACCCGUAGUGGUCGUUAAUUCUGCCUCCCUAGGUUAUUUUGUCUACUUGUUUUCAUUGUAUGUUACUUAAUUACCAGGUGAUGCUGCGUGGAGACAUGUAAAAUCCACCAAAACCCCUUAAACCACAUCAGCGAAACUACUUCCCUGCACGCUAUCUUUCUGUACUUUUUAGUUUUUGUUGUAGUUUUGAAUUUCUUUAAGCAUGCUCUUGUCACUUACCAAUUUAUUUAUGCAAUUUCUCAGAUUGAAACGCAAAACUCCAUUAUUUCUUUUCUUUUAAAAAAAAAUCAUAAGAAAAGGGGGAAAUGACUUGCGAGAGAAGAGCAUGCCUAAGGAAGCCCACGUUUCCAUUUCUUUAUCAUAGAGUCUUGGGUGGGUCCUCCCUCACAGAGAGGAACGCAAAAGUUGAAUGCCCGAGAGUAGCUGUCCCGGUCAAACUGCCCACAAGGGUAGCUGUUCUGGCCAAACUGCCCAAGAGUAUCGCUGUUCUAGUCAAACUGCCGAAGGGUAGCUGUUCUGGUCAAACUGUUUUUGGGGGGGCUCACUCUGUUUUAUGAUUGGCCGCAGUUGUGGCCGCCACUGGCAAGGUCCGGGAGGGGGCUGGCGCGGCCGGCCCUUGGGCUGGCCUCUGAUGCCCUUCAGGGCUGACCCCCCCCACUGGCCCCGUCCAAUAGUAGUCCCUCGUUGCGCGUUGUGAACGAGCCCUGCUCCCGAAGGCUCUCGAGGCUGGUCCGUCUACGGCCACGGCAGUGGCUCUUCGGCGCCGCACCGGACGCGCUCACGGCUGGAGCGCGACCACUCGGCCGAGUACGACGACUACAGCGACCGCGAGCGCGACCGGGACGUGCGGGACCGGGACCGCGACCGGGACAUGUACGGCGGCCACGGCGGCCACCAGAGCGGCCACCACUACGGCGGCGGCGGCAGCGGCGGCCACCACAUGGCGCACCCGGGCCACCACGGCCAGGACCACCGGCACCCGCACGGCCACCCGCAGGGCCGCGGGCCGCCCGACCACCACCCGCACCACCGCCACCACCAGGACUACGACGACGACUACCGGCACGGCGGCCACCGCGCGUCGUCGCGCAGGGCCCUCAACGCCCUGUAGAGACGUCCAGCACGCACCAGGGUGGCUCGGCGGCCCGGCUCGACGGUGACCGCGGGCAAACUGUCUCUCUCUCCGCCCCUCCCGACGGUCAUAUUCUGUGAUUUAUUUCAUUUGUGCCAUUUCAGGAUAUGUCAUGACAAGUAGAGUGUCGUUGGCGCCCGUCACUGGGCCCGAGUGACUCUGUGCUGCUCCUAGUUGUUGGGGACCACCACGUGGACUGUGCGCGUGGCGCACCUUGGCCAACCGAACUCUCCCUCCCCCUCCCCAUCCCCUCUCGAGGACCAACCGGACCAGCCUUCGCCCCGCUGUGCAGCGCGCCAUGUGCAGCCACAGGGAGACCCCUGUGGAGGCCCUCCGCUCCGCGCGAGUGGAAGGACACUACAGGACUACUUCGUGUCUGUCUCCUCCUCCCCUACAAUCAAACUGGGCGGCAAGGCAUGGCUAACUCCUUGUUUAGUUUGUUACGUAUUGUUGUAUUGUUCCUACUAUUUUUUUACUGAGCUGUACUGGGUUUGCGACAACACUCAACCUUUCUUGUCGUCAACCCGUUUAGCCUGCCAGAAGUAUUUUCAAAAGAAAAAGUGACGGUACCAGUGGAAUAGUAUUUAUUGAUGCCUCAUUUUUCUUUUGUUGUAUUUAAACUACAUCAGGUUUUGUGUACCUACUUACCCGGGUUGAUACCCAUCCUGUGGCGUUUUGGGCAGUUUUAAACCUCCUUGUGGUUCGUCCACAACUGGAUUUGAUUAAAUAUCAAUCUUCUCAUUUCAUUUUUCAUUUUUACGGGUGUUAUCUAUUUUCUUUUAAUAUUGCUGCCCGGAGACUGAAGCCGCUGCGUUCAGGGUGUCAUGUUGCCCUUGUUAUAUGUGUACUUGGUGAUAUGUUUUGCAUGGUAAAUUUUUAUUGUAUGUAUGAAACUGAAAGCAGAGUGAUUUUCAAAAACCACCUGCAUUAAGAGAGAGUUACAGGAAACGUUAUGCAAUCAAAAUAUGCAAAAGUGUUCAAUAGUUUUGUUGAUAGUUACAAUCUGCUUCAUACUUUGAUACUUUGUUGUGUUCCCCUCUGUCCUCUAGGGACAAACUGAAUUCCGAAAAAACUGCCUCCAGCUCACUUUAGGCCUUGGCUGCAGAACUCUUAUUUUCAAAUUUUACUACCGCCUCAGACAGAUUGUUAAUACCCUAAACAUUGCCGUAUGUCUUUUCAUUCCAGAACUUUUUGUUGCAUCCUGAUGUAAUAGUGUUAUAAAAAAUAAUUCGCGCAAAAUUACGAUUAACAACAACCUACUCUGAAUUCUGUUUUAAAGAAAGAAGCAGCCAGGCUGUAUGUAUAUCUGUUGCAAAUUUGUUUGCAGUGGUGCUGGAGAUCCUUAAUUUUACAUUACAGUACAACUAUUAUCCUUUAGUCAAUAGCAGUAGAUAUUUCAGAUUCAGAACUAAAUGGUUCAUCUUCAAAUACAUUGAAUAGUCAGCUGCUUUUACUAUCAGGGACAAAGAUAACAUUUUAAAAUUAAAUGCACUCUUGACCAAUCAAGAAAUUAUAUGAAUUAUGAUCAUCCUAAUGCAUUUGAGCCGUCUCUUUUUCAAUUUAGAAACUUUUAUUUAAUAGGUAGGUCUUUUACAUUGAACCAAUGGCAUACCUUAACUUACUCUAUGAUUUGGACUCUUGAUUAAAAGUGUUCUCUGUUAUUACCCUGGUGGUUUACAUUUGAUUUUAGAUUAGGGCGUAUUAUUCCUCAUUAACUGAAGUAACAAUUUCAAUACUUUCAUACAUUUUUAAAAAUAUAUAUUUACAAGGAAUAAAUGAGUGCCAGCAUUGCUAAAAAUAUCUAUAAUCUGUUCAGUUGAAUUGGAUGCAAAUAAUACAGUGUUAUGAUGGUAGGAGGUCAGCAUGAAUACUUUGUCUUAUAUUGCACAACAAAUAUUUUGCACAAUUAAAGACUUGAACGGAUAAUUAAAUCUAAAUUCAUUUUUCACUAGUGUAACUAUAUUAAGUAUGUUUUUGCAAUGGAAUUGACUUUUUGUGUAUUAGUUAUAGGUAUUUAAAGUAUCAUUUGAUGACAAUCCUACUCUCUUAGCAGCAACAUGGUUGUCACUGACUUCAAUUCCCUUGAUCAGAAGCAUGCUGGCACUGCCUCCCUUCUUGGGUUACUUUUCCCUGAUAACUUGAAGAGGAUACACUUGUAAGGAAUGCCACGCUAUUUCACAAUGGUACUACAUGUCACGACUCUCUUUUGAGUACAAACAAAAAUAUUUUGGAUUCAGGUGUUGUGGUCAGGGUAGCAGAUUUAUCUGCAAGGGUCACAACAAGAGUAAUUGAAGUCUUCUCUAAGGCUAAAUAAGUGAUUGCUGUGUUGAAUGAAAAACUUGAUUUGUUCCUGAGGGUAAAUUUAAUUUAGUAUUGUUCUAUGUUCAGUGUGUUUCCUUGUCGCUUAAAGAAAACCAACACAUAUGUACUUUUAAGAUGAAAUACUUCACAAAUAUUUUGGAAGUAUUCAUAGCUUUUGAUCUGUCCCUUGUAAGUUUAUUGAUUAAGGGAUUAAAAAGUGCUUGGUGUAUUGUUAUGUGUCAUUGAUGAGAAAGAGGCAACUCAGAGGAUUUCAGGAAAGUGCUAUGGGCUACUGGGACCUGCUAGGGUGCAAUCAUUGUACUGUUAUGUCAUAUAGCUAAAGCCCGCUACCCUUCAGCCUCUUUACCCAACACUACUGUGUACAUUGUGAUAAAUCUAGUUGUUUUGAAAAUUAUGAAUAUUUUUCUUUUCUUUUUUGGGUGGGGCUAUAAAUACAUUGAAAUAAUGUGUCAUCCCAAUAUUAACGGUUUGUGCCUACCAUGUACUCUCCAUCCUUUCCUACAGCCCACUGCAUACUUGUACAUAUUCAUAUAAGAGAAACAAAAAAAUUUUUAUCUACUCUAAAA